This 2001-nucleotide long non-coding RNA is filed under the name Mytilus galloprovincialis (Mediterranean mussel). Lineage: Eukaryota; Metazoa; Mollusca; Bivalvia; Mytilida; Mytilidae. The record is from RNAcentral.
UGAUUCACAUACAAUUUUAAGAAUGCCACCAUACAAUAGACCACCAAAUUUCUAACAUUUAUUUACAACUGUAAACUUGUUAUAGAAAAAUAUUUAUUGAAUAAAAGUAUAAUGCUUUAUUAUUUGCAAUUUUUACAAUUGACAAUGCAUGGAGUUACAUACGUAGUUCAUUACCGGGUGAAGUUUUCAGGAUCUCUUUAUGAUACAAAUAUUGCACUGAUGUUAUUGGGAGAAGUGCUAAGCUCCGCUUUAUAAGAUAUGGAGAUCGAACUGUCAAAAGUUUCAACAGUUUAGUUAGAGCUUAAGUUGUAUCUCAGAAUAAAAAAAUAUCUGUACUGCUACAACAAUUACAUAUUUGAAACCAUGGAUUGAAUCUAAAAUCAUUCAAUUUAAAACAACGAAAAGUAAUUGCAAAAUUUUCAAACAAGAUGUCCUACAGAUAACAACUACUACGAUGUGUUAACGAACUUGACUACCUUUGAGGGUGUGUUGACGAGCUUGACUACCCUUGAAGGUGUAACGAGCUUGAAAAAUCCUUGAGGGUGUGUUGACGAGCUUGACUACCAUUGAGGGUGUGUUGACGAGCUUGACUACCCUUGAAGGUGUAACGAGCUUGAAUAAUCCUUGAGGGUGUGUUGACGAGCUUGACUAUCAUUGAGGGUGUGUUGACGAGCUUGAAUACCCUUGAAGGUGUAACGAGCUUGAAUAAUCCUUGAGGGUGUAUUAACGAGCUUGAAUAAUCCUUGAGGGUGUAUUAACGAACUUGACUAUACCCUUGAUGGUGUGUUGACGAGCUUGGCUGCCCUUGAGGGUGUGUUAACGAGUUUGACUACCCUAAAGUGUAUCUUGACGAGAUUGACUACCCUUGAAGGUGUGUUAGCGAGCUUGGCUACCCAUAGGCGGAUCCAGGGGGGACCUGGGGGGAAAAUUUGGUUGAUUAUAUAGGGAAUCAUUGAAGCAUGACUGGAGCGGCCCCCCCCCUUUAGGUCAGUCAGCGGGUCCCCCUUAGGAAAAGUUCUGGAUCCGCCACUGCUACCCAUUAGGGUCUCGCAUAGUAUUAGAGUACAAAUGAAUACUUGAAGUUGUCCCAGUAAUGGACUGCUGGUCAUACAUGGAGGUAAAUGGUUAUACAGUAUAAAAGUAGAAUUAUUGGUAUGUUUGUGUAAAAUAUAAAUAUGCAUAUUUGAAUGUGUUUGCUUCAAGCUUGAAUAUUAUGAUCCUGGUCAUGCUUUGUAUGUUUGGUUCUCUAAACCUUUUGACAGCCAUAUUAUAGAACUGAUAAACAUUAUUAUUGAAAUAUAUGAAAAUAUUUUGAAAAAAGUCAUGCUAGCUGUUAACAUAUAGGUGGAUCCUUACUUUAUAGAAAAGAUAUACAAUAUUAAAAGCAAUAAAGUAGUGGAAACAAAACUGUGUUGACCUGAGAAUUUGUAAUAAUAAUAAUAAUGAAAAUUUAUAGAGCACCCUAUAUAAAUCAAAGAGCUGAAAGCUCUGAGGAAAAAUGACGCCACUGUCUCUAAUAUUGGGAUAGUUUUUAUGCAAGUCUUGAUUUUCACAUACCGUAAUUAGUUUAACAAUGCAACAUGUCUCGUAAGCAUAUAAUUGAUAUUCGUAUAUAUGUGUGUGUGUGAAGUGAAGGUGACAACUGGCUGUUUUUUAAGACAAAUGAAUAGGUCAAGACUACCUGAAUUGUACAAAUAAAUACCGUAGAAAGGCUUGUAUAUUUCUCACUGGUACAUAGUCUGAAUCCGGGUCCGUUCGCGCCCACUCAUGUUCGCCCCCUUUCACUUUCACACCCUAAAUGUUCGCACCCAAUCUUAAUUGGUUUUGUGUUUAAUAACUCUGUAAGCAAGUGUUUUCUUAUAAGUAUAAUUGUUGUCAUUGUCUCAAAAUAAAGUGAGACAGCAUUUUUAUUUGUGUUGAAUAAAUCUUAAUCAUGUUUUGGAUAGCGUAUUGUUAAAAAUAAUAAUAAUCCUUUCUAAUUAAAGUGGUAUUUUGUCAACG